GUCGUAACAAGGUUUCCGUAGGUGAACCUGCGGAAGGAUCAUUACCACACCGAUCCAAGAUCUUUCUUAACCGUGAAGCGGUGGUCCCUUGGAAGCUGGCAGGCUCAACUGCGAUGGACUCGAUAACCUUGGGCCCGUCGCGUUGCCUGUUGGUGGACUGCCACCUAAAAUGUGCUGCUGUUGGUGACACUCCGGUGUUGCGGGACAGUGGUGCGACCCGUCAUUUUACGACGUCAACCGGUCUUGACCUAAUGAACUGAACCAAAAGGGCUCGACUGGACCUGAUGCACCUCGUGUGUGUCGGUUCUGGCAGCUUGACAAAAGUAAAUACCUUACAACUUUCAGCGAUGGAUGUCUAGGUUCCCA
RNAcentral lists this unclassified non-coding RNA (366 nucleotides) under fungal sp. Its description in RNAcentral is "partial internal transcribed spacer region". The stretch from base 1 to 44 matches the Rfam family "Eukaryotic small subunit ribosomal RNA", at positions 1788 to 1831 of the family's 1831-position model. The record is from RNAcentral. Lineage: Eukaryota; Fungi.